Molecule: small RNA, 112 nt
Organism: Pluralibacter gergoviae
Lineage: Bacteria; Pseudomonadati; Pseudomonadota; Gammaproteobacteria; Enterobacterales; Enterobacteriaceae
Rfam family: tp2
Source: Rfam
GGUAUUCCUUAUCUAUCUAAUCGUUGAUUGGGUCUGGAACCUGUCCCAUUGAGUUCUCGGCUGAAAGCUCAAUAAGACAGGUUCUGCGUUAGUUGCCGCGCUCUAAUCCCGU